This 253-nucleotide ribosomal RNA is filed under the name uncultured bacterium. RNAcentral's name for it is "partial 16S ribosomal RNA". It matches the Rfam family "Bacterial small subunit ribosomal RNA", at positions 524 to 776 of the family's 1533-position model. The record is from RNAcentral.
UACGUAGGGGGCAAGCGUUGUCCGGAUUUAUUGGGCGUAAAGAGCGUGUAGGCGGCUAUGCAGGUCCGCUGUGAAAACUCGAGGCUCAACCUCGAGACGUCGGUGGAAACCGCAUGGCUAGAGUCCGGAAGAGGAGAGUGGAAUUCCCGGUGUAGCGGUGAAAUGCGCAGAUAUCGGGAAGAACACCCGCGGCGAAGGCGGCUCUCUGGGACGGUACUGACGCUGAGACGCGAAAGCGUGGGGAGCGAACAGG